Molecule: long non-coding RNA, 1581 nt
Organism: Dermochelys coriacea (leatherback sea turtle)
Lineage: Eukaryota; Metazoa; Chordata; Testudines; Dermochelyidae
Exons: 3
Source: RefSeq, a predicted model, not a curated record
GACCAAGUCCCAGCCCCUUCGGGGUCAGUUGCCCCCAACGUGCCAAGGGUCGAGGUUUUGUGGCCGGCAGGGAAGGCAGCACUAAGGGAAGGCGACGGUUUUACCCUCCACUGCCAGGCUGCUGCCCUGCGACCCAUCGCUGGGGACGUGUGGCUGCCAGAAGCCGGGCAGGAUUUACGUGUUGAGAAGGCAGCCGUCUGAGCCCCGAUCUCGUGGCUGCCAUCCUGCUCCUCAUCGUCCUCGUUAAUGUGGGGGCUCGUUACCCGCUCGGCAGAGGCUGGCGGCAGGAGGGGGCUGCGGAGGGUAAGAGCCAGGCUGGGCGGAUGGGAACAGGGAUGGGGAUGGAGCAGGGGGGUGGUGAUUUGGGGGGCUGGUGGGAGACCUAGGGGAAUACCGGGGUGUAGCCAGUGAUUUUAGCUGAUUGUGAGGUUAUGAUUCAUUAACAUGUCACGUCCCAUACAAUCACUGUCUGCUCAGUAGAGUUAAGGGACUGGACUAUGGAGGUCUACAACCAAUCAGGAUUUCGAAGGAAUAAGCGCCUGUUUGAGAGCUAAGGCAGGAAGGCUGAAACGCAAGGCCUGUCAGCCAAGGCCUGCAAGGUUUUAGCUUCGCUGUUUUGGGCCUCGGAGCUAAGAAACGCUGACAGAAGUAAGUGAGCGAAGAAAACCCCAAUGCCCUGAGAUGCUGGGCAAAGAGGCACCAAGGGGCAAUGUUACAAACAAUCAGCCGGAAGAUUAACUUUAAAUCGCAAAAAUGCUGCAGCGGCACAUCUGGCUCCAACGUGUGUCUGCACCACCGGCUACUGGUUGUGUGUCAGUGCUAACGAGAACAAAGAGAACUAGACACGGCCUAUAGAAACUGGGGGGGCCUUUAGUCUCUAGGGGACACAGACCCCGAAGGAAAAAGAGGGGUGACACUUUCACAUACACACACAGAAGGUCGCUAGAGGAAGACUCUCACCCCAACCUCAACCCCAUCCGGGAGCUAAGACCGGAUGCCUCUAUUCCAUGAGGGUGUAGGGGCUGGGAGCCAGGACUCCUGGGUUCUAUCCGUGGCUCCAGGUGGGGAGUGGAGUCUAGUGGUUAGAGUAACAGAAGAGCCCAGAACUCUGAGCCCACUUGUGUAUAAGGGGCUCCGAUUCACCGCCGUGCCUCAGUUUCCCAGCAGCACAGCGGGAACCCAGAGGCAUGCCUGCUGUCAGGUUUUGUGCAUGACCACAGGCCGGGCAUGGUGCAAUCCAGAGUCAAAGGCCCCGGCUGCUCCUUGCAUUUGAUUUCCCACUUGGGGGACGGGGGGACGAAGAGCCCUGAGAACGCCUCUCCCCCGCUGCUGAGCAGUGCAGGGCACCAGAGCAGCUGUUUCUCCCGCAUCAAGGGCCACUGGCUGGGCCUCGGCCGGAGUAUUUUUGUGUCAGAGACGCUGCCACUUCCUCUGGGCUUUGAGCAAACCAAGGUGGGGGGAGGACCUGGGAGAGCAGCCUCAGGGUGUGAGAACCGGCAUCGACUAUUCCUGCCCUGCGCCCGCCACACAGCGCCCCCUAGCGUCCCCACCCUGCUCCCUCCGCAACACAGCGCCCCCAGU